RNAcentral lists this ribosomal RNA (428 nucleotides) under uncultured bacterium. RNAcentral describes it as "bacterial SSU rRNA". It matches the Rfam family "Bacterial small subunit ribosomal RNA", at positions 29 to 429 of the family's 1533-position model. The record is from RNAcentral.
AUUGAACGCUGGCGGUAUGCUUAACACAUGCAAGUCGAACGGUAACAGGCCUUCGGGCGCUGACGAGUGGCGGACGGGUGAGUAACGCGUAGGAAUCUGCCUUAUAGUGGGGGACAACGUGGGGAAACUCACGCUAAUACCGCAUACGCCCUGAGGGGGGAAAGCGGGGGACCCUAAAUAGAGCGCACUGGGGAGUGCGUUGUAUUUAGGGCCUCGCGCAAUAGGAGCGGCCGAUGUCGGAUUAGCUAGUUGGUGAGGUAAAGGCUUACCAAGGCGACGAUCCGUAGCUGGUCUGAGAGGAUGAUCAGCCACACUGGGACUGAGACACGGCCCAGACUCCUACGGGAGGCAGCAGUGGGGAAUUUUGGACAAUGGGGGGCAACCCUGAUCCAGCCAUGCCGCGUGAGUGAAGAAGGCCUCGGUGUAAG